Molecule: ribosomal RNA, 301 nt
Filed under: uncultured bacterium
Lineage: Bacteria
Description: partial 16S ribosomal RNA
Rfam family: Bacterial small subunit ribosomal RNA
Source: RNAcentral
CAGUCGCCCGGUAAUACGGAGGGUGCAAGCGUUAAUCGGAAUUACUGGGCGUAAAGCGCACGCAGGCGGUUUGUUAAGUCAGAUGUGAAAUCCCCGAGCUUAACUUGGGAACUGCAUUUGAAACUGGCAAGCUAGAGUCUUGUAGAGGGGGGUAGAAUUCCAGGUGUAGCGGUGAAAUGCGUAGAGAUCUGGAGGAAUACCGGUGGCGAAGGCGGCCCCCUGGACAAAGACUGACGCUCAGGUGCGAAAGCGUGGGGAGCAAACAGGAUUAGAUACCCCUGUAGUCCCUGUCUCUUAUACA